CAGUCGCCGCGGGAAUACAGAGGGUGCGAGCGUUAAUCGGAUUUACUGGGCGUAAAGCGUGCGUAGGCGGCUUCUUAAGUCGGAUGUGAAAUCCCUGAGCUUAACUUAGGAAUUGCAUUCGAUACUGGGAAGCUAGAGUAUGGGAGAGGAUGGUAGAAUUCCAGGUGUAGCGGUGAAAUGCGUAGAGAUCUGGAGGAAUACCAAUGGCGAAGGCAGCCAUCUGGCCUAAUACUGACGCUGAGGUACGAAAGCAUGGGGAGCAAACAGGAUUAGAGACCCGCGUAGUCCCUGUCUCUUAUAC
This 301-nucleotide ribosomal RNA is filed under the name uncultured bacterium. Its description in RNAcentral is "partial 16S ribosomal RNA". It matches the Rfam family "Bacterial small subunit ribosomal RNA", at positions 509 to 807 of the family's 1533-position model. The record is from RNAcentral.